CGGAGGGUGCAAGCGUUAUCCGGAUUUACUGGGUUUAAAGGGUGUGUAGGCGGGCUAUUAAGUCUGGGGUGAAAUCUCCGAGCUCAACUCGGAAACUGCCUUGGAUACUAUUAGUCUUGAAUUAUGUUGAGGUUGGCGGAAUAUAACAUGUAGCGGUGAAAUGCAUAGAUAUGUUAUAGAACACCGAUUGCGAAGGCAGCUAACUAAGCAUAUAUUGACGCUGAGGCACGAAAGCGUGGGGAUCAAACAGGAUUAGAUACCCUGGUAGUCCACGCCCUAAACGAUGAUUACUCGUCAUUUGCGAUACACAGUGAGUGACCAAGCGAAAGCGUUAAGUAAUCCACCUGGGAAGUACGUCCGCAAGGAUG
Molecule: ribosomal RNA, 368 nt
Filed under: uncultured organism
Description: bacterial SSU rRNA
Rfam family: Bacterial small subunit ribosomal RNA
Source: RNAcentral